AAGAGACAGCAGUCGCCGCGGUAAUACGAAGGGAGCUAGCGUUGUUCGGAAUUACUGGGCGUAAAGCGCGCGUAGGCGGUUACUCAAGUCAGAGGUGAAAGCCCGGGGCUCAACCCCGGAACUGCCUUUGAAACUAGGUGACUAGAAUCUUGGAGAGGUCAGUGGAAUUCCGAGUGUAGAGGUGAAAUUCGUAGAUAUUCGGAAGAACACCAGUGGCGAAGGCGACUGACUGGACAAGUAUUGACGCUGAGGUGCGAAAGCGUGGGGAGCAAACAGGAUUAGAUACCCGUGUAGUCCCUGUCUCUUAUAC
Molecule: ribosomal RNA, 310 nt
Filed under: uncultured bacterium
Lineage: Bacteria
Description: partial 16S ribosomal RNA
Rfam family: Bacterial small subunit ribosomal RNA
Source: RNAcentral